RNAcentral lists this small nuclear RNA (105 nucleotides) under Mesocricetus auratus (golden hamster). Lineage: Eukaryota; Metazoa; Chordata; Mammalia; Rodentia; Cricetidae. The record is from RNAcentral.
GCACUCCACUCGGCAGCACACAUACUAAGACUGCAAGGAUACAGAGAUUAGCAUGGCCCCUGAACAAAAAUGACAAGAAGUGUCCCUCAUUAAAAAAAAAGUGUU